AGUGAACGCUGGCGGUAGGCCUAACACAUGCAAGUCGAACGGCAGCACAGUAAGAGCUUGCUCUUACGGGUGGCGAGUGGCGGACGGGUGAGGAAUACAGCGGAAUCUACUUUUUCGUGGGGGAUAACGUAGGGAAACUUACGCUAAUACCGCAUACGACCUACGGGUGAAAGCAGGGGAUCUUCGGACCUUGCGCGAUUGAAUGAGCCGAUGUCGGAUUAGCUAGUUGGCGGGGGAAAGACCAACCAAGGCGACGAUCCGUAGCUGGUCUGAGAGGAUGAUAAGCAACACUGGAACUGAGACACGGUCCAGACUCCUAGGGGAGGCAGCAGUGGGGAAUAUUGGACAAUGGGCGAAAGCCUGAUCCAGCCAUACCGCGGGGGUGAAGAAGGCCUUCGGGUUGUAAAGCCCUUUUGUUGGGAAAGAAAAGCAGCAGGUUAAUACCCCGCUGUUCUGACGGUACCCAAAGAAUAAGCACCGGCUAACUUCGUG
This 492-nucleotide ribosomal RNA is filed under the name uncultured bacterium. Its description in RNAcentral is "partial 16S ribosomal RNA". It matches the Rfam family "Bacterial small subunit ribosomal RNA", at positions 29 to 507 of the family's 1533-position model. The record is from RNAcentral.